Pseudopipra pipra is the source of this 8722-nucleotide long non-coding RNA. RefSeq lists it as uncharacterized. The transcript is spliced from 2 exons. The record is from RefSeq and is a predicted model, not a curated record. Lineage: Eukaryota; Metazoa; Chordata; Aves; Passeriformes; Pipridae.
CCCCGGCAGCCUGGGAGAUCCUGCUCUGUCUGCUGCCUGCCCUGGGCGUGGGCAGGGACAGGCAGGGCUCCUCCAGCAUCUCCCUCUGCCAACCCAUUCCGGCGUUCUCAGCCCAGGUGGCUUCAGGGAGGUGGGCUGAGGUGCCCCCACUCCGGGAGGAGAGUGGAGCUCCUGCUGGGCACGGAGCUGGUGAGGAAUGGCCGAAGCCACCUCAGAGCUAGGUGAUCCGAGGCAAAGGGGUUCCUCAGAGUCUGUCCCUACAGAUCCAUCCUGGCUUGGCGGGUCUCAUCCAGCUUUUCAGAUGUGGGGAAGGGCCCUCCCAGGUCUGGAGAAGGAAUUGCUUUCUGCUCUGUAUAUGUCUAGGAUGGAAAAAAACGGGAAGCCGGAGGCAAGCCCAGGCGGGUGGGCUCCCCACACUGUGGAGAAACGGGCUGCUCGCUUACCUCCUCUGGAUGGUUGUGCUGCUGCCGCUUUCUGAGGAAAACAAGCUGGGAUGGGGCUGGGGCUCAGUGCCAGAGGUUUGCAGGGUGUUGGAGCUGCCCUACCCAGCACCCUCACACCGACUGAGAGCAUCCCACGGUCUGCAGCUUUUGGGACCCCAACUGCAGCCCAGCCUGUGCCACUGCCCUGCUCUGUCCUCCUGGCCAUGGCCCCAGCUGGCCCCACUGGUGUUAUUCCAGCUGCUGGUGUUUCCCUGGCUCCAUCACACACCGGGGGAACAGUGGCCACAUCCUCAAACACCUGGAGCUGCAGCAGCAGCUGGUGUGACCCUGUAGGAGCCAGUCCCUGAGCCCUGGCCUGGACACCGGGCGGGAGGGAAGGGCAGGGGGAGGGCAGCAGGUGAUGGCAGGACAGCAGUAGCUGUUUCAGCAGUGGGUCACCUGGGGACACUGUGCCAUUCCAGCAAGCUGCCGUGUCCCCCUGCCUCCUUCCUCUGCAGGGGCAACCACCAGCUUCUAUUCAGGUUGAGCUCGAGGACACUGGGUCCAACCAGGGUGUGAUACCAUCCCUAGAGGGGCAUGUGUCCCUCUGCAAAGGGACAGUGACAGUAACCAGGGCACUGCAACCUCUCGGAGCAGACAUGGCCACCGUGGUCCCAGUCUGUCCCCAUCCCGCUGUGCUUCAAGGGCUUCCUGUUGUUGCUGGCUGCUCCUGGGGAAGUUGUGGCAUCUUGACACUGGGAUGCUGUACAUGGGGUUGGGGAGCCACUGGUGUGACAUGACCUGUGUCCCCGUCCCAGUGGCAAUGUCCCAGGCACAGGACUACCCUGCCUGUGCCUGCCCUCGCUCCCUAUCCCCUGUGUAGCAUCCAGGGAGCCCUCGGAAGGGCAAUGGCAUGGCCUCCCUGCCACUGGCCGAUGGGAGAGAAGUUAACUUCCAACAAACACAGGCAGACGCUUCCGCCAAAGAUUUCCCAAGCAGUUAUCAGUAGGAAUUUGGGGAAGGCUGUGUCUAGACAGGCUGCAGCUCUGGGUGGCUGCUGGAUAGAGUGGCAUUUCCCUCCACACUUGUCAAGGAGAAGUCUGCAGAUGAUUAAGGGCCCUUUUUUUACUCUUGGUCUCCUUUUCUGUCCAAAAACCAGCCUUGUUCUUGAUCAGGCUUUUCCAAGGCUUGUUCCUCCAAAGCCCUUUGCUCAUCCCUGGCAUCCUGCUGCUGCUCCUUGCCCAGGGCUGAGUGGGGAGAGCUGGUACACAGUGGUGUAUCCUGAUGCAGUUCCUGGUGAGCAGGGCCAUGGUGAAUCGCAUCCUCAGCCCACGGCACCACUGCCUCCUGGCCGGUGAGGGCUCUGGCUGUGGUGGGCACUGCUCUGUCGGUCACUGCCACGCCAUGGCAGGGUGCUGGGCAGUGGCAUGGCACAGCCAUCCCACAGGCAGGAGCACAGGCAGUGCUGGACUGGGGACCCAGUGCUCCCCAGGGUGGCCCCAGCACCUGAGCCUGUGUGCGGCAGAGGCAGGGAACGCUUAGUGAUGAGGCAAGAGGCUGGAAAUCUGAGCUCUGGAGCUGUUUCACCAUCCUCUGACCUUGACCAGGAGCAUAGAGGAGGCAACUGGAGCAGAUCCUGCACAGGGGAAAGCUCCAGCUGGGAGGGAUGAAGCCCAAUGCAUGUCCUGUGGCUGAAGGCCAGUGGGUGCUGGGGACUGCUUGCUGCUGCUGAAUCCCAAAUCCCUUUGCCUGCCCAGGACAAUGUACAUUCACAGGGUUCAGCUCAGCCCUGCUCCAUGCCUGGCUCUGGCCUCCCCAGGGCAGUGGGGACAUGCUGCCGGCCUGCCCUGGGGAUUUUGGGGGAGCUGGGACAGUGUGUGCCCACCAGCAGCACCCACCAGCUGGGCUGACGGAGGGUCCAGAGGAGUGGGGUCUCCUCUACCUCCUCCUCUAAUAGCCACCAAGGGGGUCACUGGCCAGGAGGUGCUGGUGCUCCCCCAGCCCCUGGGGUACCCCAGCCCUUUGGCUUAGGGCAGGGACAGCAGGGACAGAAGCUGGCAUGGUCAGGGAGACAAAGGACAGAGGCUGGAGUCAGACCCCAUGCAGAGCCAGGGACACAGUUACCUGGGGGGAUCAGGGCUUUUCUGUCCCACACCACAGUAACACCAGACUGGGCAAUGAAAGGGGCCAGUGGGUGACCUGGGCUGCUGCAGGGAUGCAGGUAUGGACAGGGACCCUUCCCAGCAGCGACAUCCAAAUCCUCACUGCACACUCAGCCUGUGCAGCUGAGUGUGGAGCUGAUGUGGCUGUGCCAGCACCAUCCAGGGGCAGGGGGAAGCAGAGCUGGGCUCUGCAGAACAGCACGGGGGGAGCCCAUUGCAGGGCUGGUGCUGCAGGGAUGAGCCCCCUCGGGGGUGGCUGCUGUGAGUGAGCGUUUUCCUACUGCUGGGUCAAGGUGAGGGAUGAAGCUGCUUUGUUCCAGUGAACAAGCUGGGACAGCCUCACUGCCUGUAGGGAUAGGGACGGGGCUUUUGGAGGGCCAGCAGGCCCCAGGCCAGCCCUGUGUCUGCACUGGGUGCACACUGUGUGGCUGUCAGCUGGGCAGGUGACAGACUUGUGUGGGGUUGGGCUGAGCCUGCCUGCCCAGGCUCUGCUUCAUGUGAGACAUAUGGGAGCUUCUGAGCUCCAGCAUCUUCCCUGUCCUACUGUCACCAAAAUUGAGAAGCCCGGUGCCAUACAGUGCCAGAGCUGCAGGAGAUGGUCAGGGUGAAGGAGGCAGCAUCCUGGUGGGGCUGUCCAGGCCACAGCCAGCCCUGCAGGGCACCAGUGCCACCUGCCCCAGAGUGAAUCUUGGGAGGCUUGGCCCCAGCUGGGUCUGUGAUGGGAGUACACCAGCACUUUUAAGCCCCUUUCCCAGUGGCUGCAGGGAGGUGGGAUGUGCUGGAAAUGCUGGAGGCUUCCCACCCUGUGGCAGCAGGAUAUGUGGGUGCUGGUUGGUGGUGUGGUCUUUGCCCUGAGACCUCUGAGAGGGAGCACAUCUCCCCACUCUGCAGGGACAUCCCUGGCAUGGUGGGCAGUACAGGGCUGUGGGCAGCGCUGCUUUUCCCUGGGAGGUGCUGGGAGGUGGGUGAGCAGCUUCACUGGGACAAGGAAAGCAGCAGACAGGGCCUGGGGACGGGGCUGUGACAUCCAAUGUGCCAUAUGUGGGGCAGAUGCUCUGUGGUGGCAAACAGGCCACCCUGGUGCUCACUGUGGGACCAGCUCACUGGUACAUAGGGCAACGUCUCUCUCUCUCAACCUGGCCUUCUUACCUGAGAUCCCUCACUGCAGAUUUGUCCUUCCUUUUAUUCCUCUCCCUUUUCAAUCUUAUUUUUUAAAUUUCAUGUUUACUACUCCCCACCUCCAGUGUCCAUGGGCUCUGCCAGAGGCUCUGCUGGCAUGGGGCAGCCCGGCUGCACGGGCACUGCAGGGCUACAGUGCCUGUUACAUCAACCCCAAUGUAAAUUUGUGCUCCAUCUUUUCCCACAUCUCAUCUCCUGUGUCAUGGGAACUCGAACCAUUUAGGGCAUUUUAUUUUAGUGUCUUUAACUGCUCAGCUGGGUGGGCAGAAGGCAGGGCUGGGAAGGCUGGGGCCUGUGGGGGACAUGAAUUACAAACUGUGCUCCUCUCAUGUCCAGGCAAUGCUGCACACACCCCCCCACUCCCCCUCUCCCUUGCUGGAGCAGAGAUAAGAUGAUAGAAUUGGAAUAAGCAGCCAAAGUUCUGGCAGCUUAAUGAGCUCCAGCCACACCAUGGCUGUGCCUCUGCCAGAGGAGAGGGAGUCUGGCUGCUCCCCGCCUGCUCCAGCUCCAGGCUCUUUGCUGGCCUGUGAGCUCCUGCAUGCUCUCCAUGCUGAGUGUCCCCUCAGCCAGCUCCAUCUGGGAGCCAUGCAAGAGUGAGGUGAGGAGCAAGGAGGAUGCUGGAGCAGCCAUCCCACACUGCUUGGGAACAGUGUCCACAGGGAGCUCUCCCUGCAGCGCUCUGGGUUCCCACCAGCCCUUUCCAGCGAGGGCUGGAGGCUUGUGACGUGCUGGCCUGUCCCCGCUGGGACUUCACCCCUGCACCACUUCCUCCAGACCGGGAAUGUGACGUGUAAACAAAGCAGGAGGGCUGGUGCCGGCACCCGCUCCCACGCUCCGUGUGCCCCGGGGCCGGCACCAGGCUCCAGCCCUCACCAGCAGGGCUCCCCACACCCCCAAAACACCUUCCAGCACGGGAGGGGUGGGGGGCUCAGGGCUGUGCUGCCCUGCUGUGGGAGAGGCAGCUCGGGGAGGAGGAAACCAGCUAAGGAUGGGGAGAUGGUGCUCUGAGGGUCGGUGGCAGCAGGGAAGAGCUGAGGCCAUGAGAAAAGAGGUGACCUGCGUGCCUCAGCUCUUCCUUAGCUUCCAUGGCUUCUUCCAGCCAUCAGUCCCCAUUCUGCUGCUCCUGCCCCUCUGGAGGCUCAUCAUCCAAAAGCCAGGCUCUGUUCCUGGAGGGUUUCAGCCUCUCAUCACAGUGCUGGCACCAGUGGCUUUGCAAGAACCAGUGGGUUCUAUGUGGCAGCACAGGACUGGGCACAGUGGUGGUCCCACAGAGACAGCAAGGUCAGUCCCCUACCCUGGGGAGACAAACAGGGAGGUGUCAACAAGGAGGUGACAGAGGGCUUGUUUGUCCCUGGGCUCUCUCCAUCCAUCCAUUCCAUGCCGCCACCCUGUGCUUCAAAUGGGGUGUGGAGGAUCUCAGCUCUUCAGAGACACCAAAUUAGGUGAUUUCUCCCUCGCUCCGGCCCCAAGAAGAAGGAGCACAAACCAGAUGCGCUCUCUCCUCUGCACCCAUCCCCUGCUCUCGGCCCCCCAAACCUGCUUCUUUGUUCUUGGCAUUAUAAUUUAUCCCAGCAAAACCCAGAGAGAAAGAGCAGCAUCCCCCUGGGCCCCCUUGGCUCUCCCCCAGCAUGGGAGAUGGGGGCCGCUUGGUCUCCAAAUCUGCCUUUUUGACCAUAAAAGGGCAGGCACGCAGCCCCGGCAGGAGGAUGGGAAAGGGAAGGCAGAGCUAUUUAUAGCUGAGCAUCAGGACCUCAGCCUGAACUCGGGGUUAAUCAGCCUGUGACCAGAUUAGGAUCUCCCCUGGCCCCUCCAUUUUCUCAUAAACCUUUGAUUUAAUACCAGUGCUGGCAAGGGAGGGAGGGGAAGGAAGGGAGAGAGGAGGCACCUCUCCUCCACAGAGGCCACCAUGGUCUGUGGGGGACAGGAUGGAGAUGCUGGGAGAGCUGGAAGGCCCCAGUGCCCAUUGGAAAGAGCAUUGGAGCUGUUCUGCCACCAGCUUGUGCUGCAAAGUGCCAGGGAGCAGCAUCCCUGUGUGAUUGCUGCCUGCAAGGGACCCAACAGGCAGCAGGAGCUGCCCUGGGGUCAAUUCCUUAAAUUUCUCCUUAAGUCGAAUCCUUCCAGCAACGGCAUGUUCCCCUACAUCAUUCCAGGCCUCAUCACCCUGGAAGGGGCACCCAAGGGGGUCCUUGGGCAGGAUUUACGUUGCCUGGCGCUACCUCAGCCAACCGGAGGUGGCAUCAGGGCUGUUUGGGAAUCUGAUGACCAGAGAUGGGUCAAAGCUCAUCUGGGGCAGGGAUGUAGUUCUGAUGGCUGGUGGAGAUCAUGAUUUUGGGUGCUGAGAGGAGAGAAAAGGGGCUGAGCAUCACUCAGUGCCUUCUUCCAGCCAGCGAGCCGGGAGCAGAGCCCUCCUGGCUGGGGGCUCAUGAGUCCCUCAAAAGGCCCAGUCUGGCCUUGCAGGGCUGGGGAAUUUCGAGGAGGAAACAAAUCCCAACUGCUAUUAAAAAAGGACAUUUCCUGCAGCCACAGCCUGCCUGGAGAGGGGAAAGGGCGCUGUGUUGUAACCGCGGGGAGGGCCGAGCUCUGACUCAGCCCAGUGCUGCCGGGGAGGCAGCUCGUGGCCACGGAGCACUCGCCUGCUCCCAUCCUCCCAGCACCCACCGGCAGCGGCAGGGUGGGCACACAGGGACACGGCUCGGCAGAGGCAAAGGCUGGAGGCUCAGCUGUGGGGGUCCCUGAGGACACUGAAGCUGCUGAACACACAAGAGGACUGUACAGCUCCAGAAACAUGGCCAGUGGCGAGAGAUGGGCAGAGCCAGCAUGCCAGCACAGACAUCACCACGGGCCCUUUCCCUGGGCACAGGCAGGGAUAUGCUGUGGGAAAACCUGCCCAGCCAUGCAAAGGGGGCUGAAUCCCAGGGACUGGCUCCCAGGGUCUGGAUCUCAGGGUUGGAUCCCAGGGGCUAGUUCCCAGGGGUUGGCUCCCAGGGCCUGGUUCCCAGGUGUUGGAUCCCAAGGCUGGCUCCCAGGGGCUGGCUCCCAGGGCACACUGCAGUGCUGCACAUUGCUCCUGCUGAUAGCACAGCUACCCCUUCCUGGGGGCUUGCACGGGGCUGGGAAGAGGCUCUGCAAAGGCACAGGGUGUCAGGAAGGUCCCUGCAGCACCUCCCCUGGUUCUGGGUCCCUGUGGCUGUUCUCACACUUGGCCGGGGCUCAGGGCUGGCCUGGCUGUGGCUGGUACAGGGACAACCCCGUGCUGGACAAGGCUGCUUCCAACCCUCAUUCCUGAGCAAUGGAUGCCACAAGCGUGGGGCUUCGCGGGGCUCUUUCCCCCAAAGGACAAGAGGCAUCAGACGGGAGAGCCCGGCCCGUUGCACGGGGUGGUUUGUGCCCCGGGUCCCAGCCGGGUGCAGGGGGGCCGGUCCGGAUGCAGGGGCUCAAGGCAGAGAGGCACCAUCUGCUUCUCAUCAGGCCGCUGGGAGCGCCGCGGCUGCCGGGGCCGCGGCUGUGAUAGAUGGUCUGUUUAUCACGUUCCGGCUCUGCUCAGGAUGUUAGUGUUCGCCUGCAAAGGACGUUUCUGGGCUCAGCUGCUCCCUCCAGCCUCCCUCGCCUCCUGCUUCCCCCCGGAUCCUCACCCUUGAGGCCAGAUGGGCUGAAGCCUGUCCAGACCCGGGGGUGAAGGUUCAGGGUGUUUCCAUCCCACAGCACCUGGUCCUUGCCCAUGGAAAGGGGUGGGCUCAGCUCUGCCACCCAGGGAACGGCUGAGGCCUGAGCCUGGGAGGCUGAGGUGCUGGCCAGCUGCAGGCUCUCCUGGGGACAGGGACAAGGACAAGGGUGGGGAGGGACAGCAGGAGUUACCACACGCUCCUCAUCUUCCAAGGUGGAGAAGGGGCAGAGGGCAGGGAUGAAUGUGCUAUGCGAUACCCAAAGUCUUGUUCUCCCCUCCAUGGGGGGACUCCCAUCACCCUCACCCUCUUGCUCUCUGCACUGGCCCCAUGUCCCUAUCCCUGUCUGUUCCUGCACAGCUGGGGCCAGGCUGAGCUACUAAGCCCAAGUCUGUCCUGCCAUCAUGUUGAGAUUGGGCACAGAACGGGCACUCAGCUCUGGAGGCAGGGACACCCAGCCGGGCAGGCAGACACACAGCCUUGCUGCGUCCCGACCUAUGGACACACGUCGGCCGCAGCGAGGGUGACCACGGACACCUCCAUGUCUCCCAGCCCAAGGUGCAGUGCUGCAUCUCUGGUCAAUUGGGAGUCUGAGAUGAAGCACUGUAGCUCGGGAAGGGAGGAACUGCGCACCCUGGGGACCAUCAGGACCCCCCAUCCAGCGGGACAAGUGACACAAGGAGAGCUGAGCCCUGGCUACAGGAAAGGGCUCAUCCCAAAGCUCCAGUUCCCUGCAGAAAGCAAGGAGGGAGAGGAGGGUGAGGAGGUUUCUCCUUGCAGCAGAGGAACCCCUGUGUCUGCCUGGGACCCCUGGCCUGGCACUGCGCACAGUGGGAAGGGUCACACAGAAAUGUGGGGGCACAGCAGGGAUGUGGCAGAGGUUUCUCCCUGUCAGCCACAUGCGGAGCCUGGACAGCGAUGAGGAUGCACAGGGCUGGCAAAGAGUCUGGGUUGCCGUGUCCUCAGGGUCCAGUUUUCCCAGGAAUCCCUUAGGUGCUAUGUUGGGGAUUCCUGGAAAUACUGUUCUUGGGGCCACGGCUCGGCAGCCCAUCCCAUGGGGAGCCACAGCCUGCAGAAGAACCAGCAAUGGAGGUACAGGGCCACCACAGGGGGGGCUGGGAGGGGGAUUCUCUGGGUAUUCCAAGCAUGGGGAGGUGGGUAACCCAGCCCCCCACACAGAGGGGUGAUGGAUGUCCCCGCUGGUCAUCCUGCAGGAGGAUGUGGCUGGUGGACAGCCACACACACCCCUCCUGCCCUGCCCAGGCCACCCCAGGUCAAUAAAGGUCUCAAAUCCUGA